Molecule: ribosomal RNA, 310 nt
Filed under: uncultured bacterium
Lineage: Bacteria
Description: bacterial SSU rRNA
Rfam family: Bacterial small subunit ribosomal RNA
Source: RNAcentral
GGAUGAGCCCGCGGCCUAUCAGCUAGUUGGUGAGGUAACGGCUCACCAAGGCUAUGACGGGUAGCUGGUCUGAGAGGACGACCAGCCACACGGGAACUGAGACACGGUCCCGACUCCUACGGGAGGCAGCAGUGGGGAAUUUUCCGCAAUGGGCGAAAGCCUGACGGAGUGACGCCGCGUGGGGGACGAAGGCCUUCGGGUUGUAAACCCCUGUCAGAGGGAAAGAAGGGUGUCGGCGCGAUAACCGCCGGCACUUGACGGUACCUUCAGAGGAAGCCCCGGCCAACUACGUGCCAGCAGCCGCGGCCGA